AGAGUUUGAUCAUGGCUCAGAUUGAACGCUGGCGGCAGGCCUAACACAUGCAAGUCGAACGGUAACAGGAAGCAGCUUGCUGCUUCGCUGACGAGUGGCGGACGGGUGAGUAAUGUCUGGGAAACUGCCUGAUGGAGGGGGAUAACUACUGGAAACGGUAGCUAAUACCGCAUAAUGUCGCAAGACCAAAGAGGGGGACCUUCGGGCCUCUUGCCAUCGGAUGUGCCCAGAUGGGAUUAGCUUGUUGGUGGGGUAACGGCUCACCAAGGCGACGAUCCCUAGCUGGUCUGAGAGGAUGACCAGCCACACUGGAACUGAGACACGGUCCAGACUCCUACGGGAGGCAGCAGUGGGGAAUAUUGCACAAUGGGCGCAAGCCUGAUGCAGCCAUGCCGCGUGUAUGAAGAAGGCCUUCGGGUUGUAAAGUACUUUCAGCGGGGAGGAAGGGAGUAAAGUUAAUACCUUUGCUCAUUGACGUUAUCCGCAGAAGAAGCACCGGCUAACUCCGUGCCAGCAGCCGCGGUAAUACGGAGGGUGCAAGCGUUAAUCGGAAUUACUGGGCGUAAAGCGCACGCAGGCGGUUUGUUAAGUCAGAUGUGAAAUCCCCGGGCUCAACCUGGGAACUGCAUCUGAUACUGGCAAGCUUGAGUCUCGUAGAGGGGGGUAGAAUUCCAGGUGUAGCGGUGAAAUGCGUAGAGAUCUGGAGGAAUACCGGUGGCGAAGGCGGCCCCCUGGACGAAGACUGACGCUCAGGUGCGAAAGCGUGGGGAGCAAACAGGAUUAGAUACCCUGGUAGUCCACGCCGUAAACGAUGUCGACUUGGAGGUUGUGCCCUUGAGGCGUGGCUUCCGGAGCUAACGCGUUAAGUCGACCGCCUGGGGAGUACGGCCGCAAGGUUAAAACUCAAAUGAAUUGACGGGGGCCCGCACAAGCGGUGGAGCAUGUGGUUUAAUUCGAUGCAACGCGAAGAACCUUACCUGGUCUUGACAUCCACGGAAGUUUUCAGAGAUGAGAAUGUGCCUUCGGGAACCGUGAGACAGGUGCUGCAUGGCUGUCGUCAGCUCGUGUUGUGAAAUGUUGGGUUAAGUCCCGCAACGAGCGCAACCCUUAUCCUUUGUUGCCAGCGGUCCGGCCGGGAACUCAAAGGAGACUGCCAGUGAUAAACUGGAGGAAGGUGGGGAUGACGUCAAGUCAUCAUGGCCCUUACGACCAGGGCUACACACGUGCUACAAUGGCGCAUACAAAGAGAAGCGACCUCGCGAGAGCAAGCGGACCUCAUAAAGUGCGUCGUAGUCCGGAUUGGAGUCUGCAACUCGACUCCAUGAAGUCGGAAUCGCUAGUAAUCGUGGAUCAGAAUGCCACGGUGAAUACGUUCCCGGGCCUUGUACACACCGCCCGUCACACCAUGGGAGUGGGUUGCAAAAGAAGUAGGUAGCUUAACCUUCGGGAGGGCGCUUACCACUUUGUGAUUCAUGACUGGGGUGAAGUCGUAACAAGGUAACCGUAGGGGAACCUGCGGUUG
RNAcentral lists this ribosomal RNA (1522 nucleotides) under Escherichia coli. Its description in RNAcentral is "bacterial SSU rRNA". It matches the Rfam family "Bacterial small subunit ribosomal RNA". The record is from RNAcentral. Lineage: Bacteria; Pseudomonadati; Pseudomonadota; Gammaproteobacteria; Enterobacterales; Enterobacteriaceae. RNAcentral also lists the same sequence under 5 other names.